CCCUGGCUCGAGGACGGCGACCCGACCCCGCUCGAGGCGGGGAUGAUCGUGUCGAAUGAGCCGGGGAUCUACAUCCCCGGCCACGCG
This 87-nucleotide transfer RNA is filed under the name Cnuibacter physcomitrellae. Its description in RNAcentral is "tRNA-Ser". Lineage: Bacteria; Bacillati; Actinomycetota; Actinomycetes; Micrococcales; Microbacteriaceae. The record is from RNAcentral.